This 68-nucleotide transfer RNA is filed under the name Zoodes fulguratus. Its description in RNAcentral is "tRNA-Asn". The record is from RNAcentral. Lineage: Eukaryota; Metazoa; Arthropoda; Insecta; Coleoptera; Cerambycidae.
UUAAUUGAAACCAAAAAGAGGUAUAUCACUGUUAAUGAUAAAAAUGGAAUUAUUUCCCAGUUAAGGAA